Non-coding RNA from Populus trichocarpa (black cottonwood), 156 nucleotides. The record is from Rfam. NCBI's taxonomy places the organism in Eukaryota, Viridiplantae, Streptophyta, Magnoliopsida, Malpighiales, Salicaceae.
UCUAGAACUCGAGAUAUGGGCUGAACACUGAACAGUGUCUGGGCUGCAGGACAAAUUCCGACUUCUCCGUUGUUGCUAAGAUUUGGACUUCCAAACAGCAGAAUUGAGUCUUUCACUCUGUAUGAAUGUUUUAGGCCUAUGUCUUAGCUUUCUAGC